CCAACUGUGUGUGAAACAUGUUUCGUGUGCUGAGGAACGAUCAUAAAUGGCAGAGGACAGAUUCGAGGUGAGGCAGGCAGUUUUCUUGCCUCGUGGCAGGGGGCGCUCAUGAUCCCAGACAUUGUGACUCCACAACUGCAGAAUAAGAGACAGCAAGCAAGGCUAAAGUAAAUAACUGAAGUGCAGCGAUAGAUUUGUUUUCUCCUCUCUUCUGGCGCCAACAUGGCUGACUGCAUUUCUACACGUUAAGUUUUCUAAAGUGGAUUUUCAAUCAAAGCAGGAAAUAAUAAGUAAAAGAAGACCUACAGCACAUCUGAAAGGUUUGGUUCAAACUAUGAGACAAAAGAAUACCCGCUCGUUUCAAACGUAAAGAAAAGACAGGAUUUGUGGAUGUCCUGCUAGAAACUGCCUUUUCUACUUUUCUUCCUUCUUUUCUCAACUUGUGACACUGUGUGAACUCAGGUGGGAUUUUGUGACAUAAACCAAACAUGAGCGGUCGACCACUCAUAUUCAAAACCAGGUCGCACUAAAACUGUUGGGAUCUCGAGGAUAGACUUGGCUUCAGAACGAAUACUUUUGUGCAGAAUGAGCACGGAUUUCAUUUAUGAGUAAAGACCUGAAAAAUGGCCAAGCCUUCACAGCCAGGCCUCAGACCACGUCCACCAGGACGAAGAGAAAUUCAUACAGCAAGGCAGAGUGUGGUAAGCAGUAGAGAUCGACUACAUGGCGGACGGAGGACGGAUAUCAGGACGAAGCCAUGAAGCCGAUACUCCACAGAAUGGGAGUCACAUUUGUGUUAAUCAGACUCUUCAGGAACGUUCUGAUGCCCAUGAUGAGGACAGUAUCUACUAUUUUAGAAUGUUGAUAUUUUAUGCUUCAAUAUUAUGUACAUAAUUUUAUGCUAUGUAUU
Poecilia reticulata (guppy) is the source of this 910-nucleotide long non-coding RNA. RefSeq lists it as uncharacterized. The record is from RefSeq and is a predicted model, not a curated record. NCBI's taxonomy places the organism in Eukaryota, Metazoa, Chordata, Actinopteri, Cyprinodontiformes, Poeciliidae.